RNAcentral lists this unclassified non-coding RNA (243 nucleotides) under Hevea brasiliensis (rubber tree). Lineage: Eukaryota; Viridiplantae; Streptophyta; Magnoliopsida; Malpighiales; Euphorbiaceae. The record is from RNAcentral.
GUGUCACUGGAGGGAAGGGGUUAGUAUCCAAUGAAACAAUUUCAUCUUCUGAUGCUAUUGCCAAAAGCAAAAAUGCCUUGAUGGGUUGGGAUUUGAAAAAUGCUUGUAGUUUUGGCAAUAACAUGGUCGUAUCAAGUCAACAAGCUAUUGAAAAUCAUGGUUUUGGGGAAUUAAUUUAUCACGAACUGAUGGGAAAACAAUUACCUGAUAAUUCAAUUAGGGAUGUUUUGAGUAGCGAGGCUG